This 253-nucleotide ribosomal RNA is filed under the name uncultured bacterium. Its description in RNAcentral is "partial 16S ribosomal RNA". It matches the Rfam family "Bacterial small subunit ribosomal RNA", at positions 524 to 776 of the family's 1533-position model. The record is from RNAcentral.
UACGUAGGGGGCUAGCGUUGUCCGGAAUCAUUGGGCGUAAAGCGCGUGUAGGCGGUUCGGUAAGUCCGCUGUGAAAGUCGGGGGCUCAACCCUCGAAAGCCGGUGGAUACUGUCGGGCUAGAGUGCGGAAGAGGCGAGUGGAAUUCCUGGUGUAGCGGUGAAAUGCGCAGAUAUCAGGGGGAACACCAAUUGCGAAGGCAGCUCGCUGGGACGUUACUGACGCUGAGACGCGAAAGCGUGGGGAGCAAACAGG